CCCUGGUAGUCCACGCCGUAAACGAUGUCGAUUUGGAGGUUGUGCCCUUGAGGCGUGGCUUCCGGAGCUAACGCGUUAAAUCGACCGCCUGGGGAGUACGGCCGCAAGGUUAAAACUCAAAUGAAUUGACGGGGGCCCGCACAAGCGGUGGAGCAUGUGGUUUAAUUCGAUGCAACGCGAAGAACCUUACCUGGUCUUGACAUCCACAGAACUUUCCAGAGAUGGAUUGGUGCCUUCGGGAACUGUGAGACAGGUGCUGCAUGGCUGUCGUCAGCUCGUGUUGUGAAAUGUUGGGUUAAGUCCCGCAACGAGCGCAACCCUUAUCCUUUGUUGCCAGCGGUCCGGCCGGGAACUCAAAGGAGACUGCCAGUGAUAAACUGGAGGAAGGUGGGGAUGACGUCAAGUCAUCAUGGCCCUUACGACCAGGGCUACACACGUGCUACAAUGGCAUAUACAAAGAGAAGCGACCUCGCGAGAGCAAGCGGACCUCAUAAAGUAUGUCGUAGUCCGGAUUGGAGUCUGCAACUC
Molecule: ribosomal RNA, 528 nt
Filed under: Klebsiella pneumoniae
Lineage: Bacteria; Pseudomonadati; Pseudomonadota; Gammaproteobacteria; Enterobacterales; Enterobacteriaceae
Description: bacterial SSU rRNA
Rfam family: Bacterial small subunit ribosomal RNA
Source: RNAcentral